This 497-nucleotide ribosomal RNA is filed under the name uncultured bacterium. RNAcentral's name for it is "partial 16S ribosomal RNA". It matches the Rfam family "Bacterial small subunit ribosomal RNA", at positions 28 to 507 of the family's 1533-position model. The record is from RNAcentral.
GAUGAACGCUGGCGGCGUGCCUAAUACAUGCAAGUCGAGCGAACAGACGAGGAGCUUGCUCCUCUGACGUUAGCGGCGGACGGGUGAGUAACACGUGGAUAACCUACCUAUAAGACUGGGAUAACUUCGGGAAACCGGAGCUAAUACCGGAUAAUAUAUUGAACCGCAUGGUUCAAUAGUGAAAGACGGUUUUGCUGUCACUUAUAGAUGGAUCCGCGCCGCAUUAGCUAGUUGGUAAGGUAACGGCUUACCAAGGCAACGAUGCGUAGCCGACCUGAGAGGGUGAUCGGCCACACUGGAACUGGGACACGGUCCAGACUCCUACGGGAGGCAGCAGUAGGGAAUCUUCCGCAAAGGGCGAAAGCUUGACGGAGCAACGCCGCGUGAGUGAUGAAGGUCUUCGGAUCGUAAAACUCUGUUAUUAGGGAAGAACAAAUGUGUAAGUAACUAUGCACGUCUUGACGGUACCUAAUCAGAAAGCCACGGCUAACUACGUG